Molecule: ribosomal RNA, 473 nt
Filed under: uncultured bacterium
Lineage: Bacteria
Description: bacterial SSU rRNA
Rfam family: Bacterial small subunit ribosomal RNA
Source: RNAcentral
CGGAGACAGGUGGUGCAUGGUUGUCGUCAGCUCGUGUCGUGAGAUGUUGGGUUAAGUCCCGCAACGAGCGCAACCCCUAUCUUCAGUAGCCAGCACGAAAGGUGGGCACUCUGGAGAGACUGCCAGGGACAACCUGGAGGAAGGUGGGGAUGACGUCAAAUCAUCAUGCCCCUUAUGACCAGGGCUACACACGUGCUACAAUGGCGUAAACAAAGGGAAGCGACCACGUGAGUGUAAGCGAAUCCCAAAAAUAACGUCUCAGUUCGGAUUGUAGUCUGCAACUCGACUACAUGAAGCUGGAAUCGCUAGUAAUCGCGAAUCAGAAUGUCGCGGUGAAUACGUUCCCGGGUCUUGUACACACCGCCCGUCACACCAUGGGAGUCAGUAACGCCCGAAGCCGGUGACCCAACCAGUUCUGGAGGGAGCCGUCGAAGGUGGGACCGAUAACUGGGGUGAAGUCGUAACAAGGUAGC